GGGGGUAUGGUGUAGCGGCUAUCAUAGCAGGCUCCAGACCUGCGGACCUGGGUUCAAGUCCCAGUACCCCCA
RNAcentral lists this transfer RNA (72 nucleotides) under Methanobacteriota archaeon. RNAcentral describes it as "Euryarchaeota archaeon (groundwater metagenome) tRNA-Trp". It matches the Rfam family "tRNA". Rfam says of the family: Transfer RNA (tRNA) molecules are approximately 80 nucleotides in length. Their secondary structure includes four short double-helical elements and three loops (D, anti-codon, and T loops). RNAcentral also lists the same sequence under 1 other name. Lineage: Archaea; Methanobacteriati; Methanobacteriota. The record is from RNAcentral.